GAGAGGAGAAAGAAAGGGGUGAAACCCUAAUUCAUGAGCAGACCUUCAAAUUGAAAGGGGAAUUGAAGCCUAGUUGAAUGCAUGAACUAAGAAUGAUGAUCCUCUAAGCAUACCCAACAUCAAGGUGGCAAAUUGUGGAGUUGGGAUUGCUUAUGUGAAUGAAUGGGAACGUGUCAAGGAGAGGUCAAGCAUAGGAGGAUAACGGGUCAAGAUAAAGCAAGGUGA
Molecule: long non-coding RNA, 225 nt
Filed under: Helianthus annuus (common sunflower)
Lineage: Eukaryota; Viridiplantae; Streptophyta; Magnoliopsida; Asterales; Asteraceae
Description: hypothetical non coding rna
Source: RNAcentral